CCACCUAGCAUUAAUCAGAGGGACAUCUUUGAAGCCUCUAAGCACAAAUGAGGUAGACAUGGAGGAAGCAAUUACUACAUUUGACUCUUCAAGCACAAGGCUGAAAGUCUAACCAUCCACACUAGCAAAAAAGCUGUAAAAGGAAGUGUUGUCCUUAUUUUUGUGACUUUUGCUUACUGGAAAAGACAUGUUUUUGGAAUCAAGUUUAUACAGCUUUGCUCGGUAGGGAGGACUGAUCAUCACGAACUAAGAAGGAUAAAGUAACGAAGAUGAUAUGCAGAUUAUUCAGCUUUUUUUGCCGGCCUCAACGUUGUACAUUCACACUUACUUCAAAAUACCUCCCUGCUAUCUGGUUUUUGCAAUAGCAAAGGUUGGCUACU
Lycium ferocissimum is the source of this 380-nucleotide long non-coding RNA. RefSeq lists it as uncharacterized. The record is from RefSeq and is a predicted model, not a curated record. Lineage: Eukaryota; Viridiplantae; Streptophyta; Magnoliopsida; Solanales; Solanaceae. The transcript has 3 exons.